UUGGAGGGCAAGUCUGGUGCCAGCAGCCGCGGUAAUUCCAGCUCCAAUAGCGUAUAUUAAAGUUGUUGCCGUUAAAAAGCUCGUAGUUGAACCUUGGGCCUGGCUGAUCUGUCCUCCUAAUCGAGCGCACGGAUUCGGUCGGGCCUUUCCUUCUGGGGAGCCGUAUGCCCUUCACUGGGCGUACUGGGGAACCAGGACUUUUACCUUGAAAAAAUUAGAGUGUUCAAAGCAGGCCUUUGCUCGAAUACAUUAGCAUGGAAUAAUAGAAUAGGACAG
This 276-nucleotide ribosomal RNA is filed under the name uncultured Ascomycota. RNAcentral's name for it is "partial 18S ribosomal RNA". It matches the Rfam family "Eukaryotic small subunit ribosomal RNA", at positions 548 to 830 of the family's 1831-position model. The record is from RNAcentral. Lineage: Eukaryota; Fungi; Ascomycota.